GCCACUAUAUACCCAAACCGAAGGAGAUAUUUCUUCUUCCGGCGGUGCCCACUCCCGGAGGAGAUAAGGCCGACUUCUCUCUCUCUCUCCAUUUCUUUCGAUUUCUCCACUUCUCUCUCUCUCCCUUUCUCUCUGUGUGCAGCGGCGGCCUGGCAGGGACAGAGGGGAGCGUGCGGCGGCCCAGCGGCGGCGGCGCCCUCCCCUCCACCAGAUCUAACAGGAGCAGGAGGAGAGGCACGGUCAUGGCGAACGGUGUGGAGGUGCAACGCCGGUGACCACAAGCCGGCUAGGGCUCCAAGUUUGGACAACCCGAGCUCGGGGGGCUGUGGAUCUAGCUGUCCCGAGUUUGGGUACUCCAGAUCCAGUGGCCUCCGGCGCCAACAGCGCCAGAUCCAGGCUCAUGGUGAGUGGAUGGCGUCUCCUCUCUCCUCCAAUCGGCUGUGUGCGCUGCCGUCCGCCGUCAAGGCCUAUCGGCUGUACGGCGAGCAUGUGCUUCUCCUCAUCCUGUGCAGUCACCACCUACCGGCUACAUUAGCUAGACAUCUUUGGAGCUGCUUCUCCAGUUGCUGCAGCUCUUUGAGAUUCAGAGAUUCAAGAUCCUCUCCCAUGAGAUGGCUGCAGGAAUUACAGAAAAUCAAUUUUGCUGCAAGAUCCUCUUCUCCCAUAAGGUAAAUAGGUGCUCCAUAGACUAUGGAGUUGCUGACAUAGCAGAUAAUUGAAUGACUCUGCUUUUCUAAGUGCAAGCCAUUGUGUUCUUUGAGUUUUAUAUUAAUUCUCGAACUUGAUGAUGUUGGCCUGGUAGCAUGUCUCUAUAUUUGAAAACUCAAAAGAGCUCUUUUCUGAUAUGGCAUCAUUACUUUCUAAUUUUUGAAUUUGUAAUUUCUUUUUCUAUGAGCAAUUUUGGCAGUACGAAUGUAAGAGACAUGGUCCUAAUUCUUGUUUGUCUGGAGAAUGGGAAUUGGUUGAAAAAAAGAAGCUACAAAUGUUUAACAA
Long non-coding RNA from Oryza sativa Japonica Group (Japanese rice), 993 nucleotides. RefSeq lists it as uncharacterized. Lineage: Eukaryota; Viridiplantae; Streptophyta; Magnoliopsida; Poales; Poaceae. The record is from RefSeq and is a predicted model, not a curated record.